This 301-nucleotide ribosomal RNA is filed under the name uncultured bacterium. RNAcentral's name for it is "partial 16S ribosomal RNA". It matches the Rfam family "Bacterial small subunit ribosomal RNA", at positions 509 to 807 of the family's 1533-position model. The record is from RNAcentral.
CAGCAGCCGCGGAAAUACGUAGGGUGCAAGCGUUAAUCGGAAUUACUGGGCGUAAAGCGUGCGCAGGCGGUUUUGUAAGUCUGUUGCGAAAGCCCCGGGCUCAACCUGGGAAUGGCAAUGGAUACUGGCGAGCUAGAGUGUGUCAGAGGAUGGUGGAAUUCCCGGUGUAGCGGUGAAAUGCGUAGAGAUCGGGAGGAACAUCAGUGGCGAAGGCGGCCAUCUGGGACAACACUGACGCUGAGGCACGAAAGCGUGGGGAGCAAACAGGAUUAGAUACCCGUGUAGUCCCUGUCUCUUAUAC